Paramacrobiotus metropolitanus is the source of this 2009-nucleotide long non-coding RNA. RefSeq lists it as uncharacterized. The record is from RefSeq and is a predicted model, not a curated record. The transcript is spliced from 6 exons. NCBI's taxonomy places the organism in Eukaryota, Metazoa, Tardigrada, Eutardigrada, Parachela, Macrobiotidae.
AGUGGCACUAAUCGAGCCCGGAACAAAAUGACGUCGAAAUCGAAUAUCGGUACGUUUCGGACAGGCACACCGGCGGACAUUCGGAUUGGCCACUUCGGUGAAUGCGUAUCCGCCCUCCCAUCGGCUGGCUUUCAACUUCUGAUUCAUACUGUACACCGCGAAAUUUUAUGGAAUUCCAAAUCCGACAGCCUCAUCCGAUUUGGAAAUCUGGAAUUGGAAAACAUCGAUUGUCGAUUUUGAAAACAUCGAUUACGAUUUUGCCAACCCGGAUGCUGGACUUAGAAUUUUUCUCAAAUUUUGAUUUUCCAAUUCCACAUUCUAUUACACUUAGUGUAAUGGAUUUUUCCAUAUAAAUGACUGGAAUUGGCCCUAAUCUGGUGUUUACGCCAUAGUGAAGUCUGGAUGUUGCCGUUGGCGUUGCAAUUUACAGUACAACUACGAUAAAAGGUUGUUUUUUUCUUAUUUUUUUAGUCUGUUUGAGUGGAUUUAUUCAGAUUUUCGGAUAUUUGUAUUUCAGAGAAAUCUGAGUUCUGAUUAUGGUAGAUUUCGAUCCCUUUGAAGUGUCGUCUUGCUAUCUCGUGUCUCCUGGCUAUGUCGUCCCGUUUUGUCGAAUCCAUCGAGUUCUCAAUCUCCACUAUGUUGUUUCCAUGGAUCUCCAGGACGUUUCUGGAGAUUCAGGGUCUAUGAAAACCCCGUCGCCAUCAGUCAUUCUUCUGUUUAUUCCACCCGAUAAAGACGAGCCCAUGGAGGAGAUCCCCAUUAUACAGCUGUUCGGCGUCGAGGACUGCGAGUUCUACUGGUAGAAAACGGCGAUUACCUGGCCGUCAAAGUGGAGCGUUAUAACCAUAUCAAGAGAAAGGCGAAACAAAGUUUGACUACGGUGGAAUAUUUUAUCAACCUGGAGGUUUUCGCCCAAAUUAAACGAACGGAAGUCCCCGUAAAAUCCAUUAAAACUCAAGAUUCCAUCGUGGAUUUAUCCUUGGAACCAGAUGGCAAAAAAUUAGUAGUGCUGACUAUUGCUGGUUUAGUAAACUGGCUAAUUUCUAUGAUGGACGACAAGGCGUCAUUCUGGAAUUAGUCAGCAAGAGUCCUUGUCCAUGGAAAAGUUGCAGGUCUUUUGCAACAUUCAGAUCUUUGAUUACAAAAAAAUUAGCGCUGCGGCACAAGGUGGAGAAAAUCUCUUGGUCGCCUAUGGGGCAGUUCGUCGUUCUUCACACGGCUUCCAGUUAAAGCACAGUCGUAUUCCUGACAGUGUGUUGAUUGAGACUGUGUAUGUUUUGCAGCGGAAGCGUCGGGUAUUUAAUUUUUGUGGAUACCGUUAACACUUUCUGCUCUUUGAUGUCCAGUGGGAUCCCACAGGACGCUUCCUCAGGCAGUUACGUACUCUUCGAAUGCCGGAAACAGGAAAGAUAAUGGAUUUACUCUGUACUCCUUCUAAGGUCGCUGUAUCCGUAAUGAGAAAGUGGAUGGAUUGGGUAUGUUGAGCUGGCGACCGAGAACCGCCCAUUCGAUUCUCCCAGCACAGAAGCUUAACGACGUCAAGAAAAAUCUGAAUAAAUACUCAUCCGAAUUUGAAAUUAAGGAACGGUUGCUGGCAUCGAAGGCGUCGAAGGAAGUGUCGGGGCAACGAAAACGCCUGAUGACAGAGUUUACGGAUUUUUUGACGACAAAACAGCGCUAAUUCGAGCAAGGACGACACAAACGAGGGGCACUAAAACGAGGCUAUAAACUAGGCGACUGGGUGUUUUGUGUGCUUGCGCUGAAGCGGCUGCGGACCGAGACACACCGGUUGGCGUUGGCCAGUUGGCGCGUCCUCCGACAUGGACACGCCACCGCUAGCGGACAAAAAAUUUCCAUUAUCGGAUUUGCCGAGGAGGUCGGUGGUGUGGCACCCACGCCAGAGCUGAUUCCUUCCAAGUUGGAAGAAGACGAGAAUGGAGUGGAGUUUAUACGUGUGAUUCCGGUGGAAGUGGAGUACGAUAUUCCUAGUAUUGCCGAGUCGGCGUGAU